AAAUGAAUUGACGGGGGCCCGCACAAGCAGUGGAGCAUGUGGUUUAAUUCGAAGCAACGCGAAGAACCUUACCAAGUCUUGACAUCCCUCUGACCGGUCCGUAAUGGGACCUUCUCUUCGGAGCAGAGGAGACAGGUGGUGCAUGGUUGUCGUCAGCUCGUGUCGUGAGAUGUUGGGUUAAGUCCCGCAACGAGCGCAACCCUUAUCUUUAGUAGCCAGCACAUAAUGGUGGGGACUCUAGAGAGACUGCCGGGGAUAACUCGGAGGAAGGUGGGGAUGACGUCAAAUCAUCAUGCCCCUUAUGAUUUGGGCUACACACGUGCUACAAUGGUGGCGACAAAGGGAAGCGAGCAAGUGAUUGUAAGCAAACCCCAAAAAAGCCAUCUCAGUUCGGAUUGUAGUCUGCAACUCGACUACAUGAAGCUGGAAUUGCUAGUAAUCGCGAAUCAGAAUGUCGCGGUGAAUACGUUCCCGGGCCUUGUACACACCGCCCGU
RNAcentral lists this ribosomal RNA (495 nucleotides) under uncultured bacterium. Its description in RNAcentral is "bacterial SSU rRNA". It matches the Rfam family "Bacterial small subunit ribosomal RNA", at positions 903 to 1397 of the family's 1533-position model. The record is from RNAcentral.